Long non-coding RNA from Hypanus sabinus (Atlantic stingray), 2921 nucleotides. RefSeq lists it as uncharacterized. Lineage: Eukaryota; Metazoa; Chordata; Chondrichthyes; Myliobatiformes; Dasyatidae. The record is from RefSeq and is a predicted model, not a curated record. The transcript is spliced from 2 exons.
AGGUUGGGGGCAACCCAGGCAGGAUUUAAAGUGCUGUCCCUCCAAACCGACCACGGCUCAGGAAAGCAGUCUGUUAAGUUGUGAGUCCCGGCAGGGUAACUGGUGCAGGAAGCUGCUGUGACUAAAAGGAAGCUGAGUCGGUUAAUUGAGAGGGAAGUUUCUGCACAAUUAAGGAAAUGGGAUUAGUAAAAUCACUCCUCAGAGACGGCGUAGCCUCAAAGAGCUGAACCUUUGCCCCCCGAGCUCUGGUGCUGGGUCAGAGGAGAUGGAGCGAUAGGCACUGGCCCAGAAUAAUUUCUGCCAAACCGCAGGAAGGGAGCGGGGAGACUUCGACCCCGCUGAUCAGCACACACAGACCUCAAAACAAUUCACUCCAGCAACAAUUAACCAGGAGCAGGUAAACAUUCACAGAGUGCCUGGCCUCUGACCCCGCCCGUCCCUCUCCGCUGACCAGUGACCCAAAUCCAUCAGCACCCCACCCUUACCCUCAGGCCCGAGUGCUCAGGUAAGGCAGCGCGAGAGAACCCAGGCUCACUCCCAACCUCAGGAACUUUGCACAUCUCCCCUGAGAACACGGGAACUCCCCGGGGUCGUCCCACAUCCCAAACACGCACCACUUGGUGAGUUGCUUGGUCUCUGUCAACGGCCUGGCGUGUUUAUGUAAGAGAAUCUGGAAGGGGGAAUGACAGGAGCACGGGAGGAUAAAAUCGGUGGCUCCUGCUCAGCACAGACUGGAGGGGCUGAAGGGCCUGUUUCAGCUCAUCUCUCCAAGACACUGUUACCUUAACUUCCGACUGUAACUGACCGAGUCUGACCACCAGCUAGUCGGGCUUUUUAAAAAAGUUACAGCUAAGCUGCAAACAAGUCAGACGAAGGUGAAAAAUACCCGAUUCACGGGGUAAUUUGCAGACUUUAGCUCCCAGUCACGCGAGACCAGGGACCCUGGCACCCGAUGAGAGAGAGAGAAGUCCCGGGUCAGUUGAACCGGCUCACCCCGCCGGUCGGCGUGGGGUUCACAAAUACUACCCCGCAGGAGAACUCUUCAACGCAGCAGGGCUGUCCCAGGUAACAUCCUGCGAGUCCCUUUUGCAUUCUCUAUCGCUGUGACACCCAGAACUGUGCACAACGUUCCAAAUGCAAACUAACCAACAUCUUGAGCAGAUGUAGUAUGAUCUCCCAACCCAGCCAGUGAAGGUAAGCAUACCAUGUACCAGCUGUCCAGCUCACUGCCCUUUGCCACCCGUUUCUGAGCGCCAUAGACUUGCACCCCAAGGCCUCUCUGUACAUCAACGCUUCUCAAAUCCCUGUUUGCCUUUGCAGAAUGCAAGACAAGGAAAAUGUUUAUAGCAUAGGGUGUGGUUACCAUUUGGAAUAUCUGAGAAGGUGCCUGGUUAAACUUUAAUUAGAUACAGUAUUAUCUUUUAAAUAAUAAAUGCAAAAGAUUCUUCAGAUACUGUAAAUCUUGGAACAACACACAUAAAAUGCUGGAAGAGCUUAGCUAGUCAGGCAGUAUCUGUGGAGGUGACUAAACAAUGGAUGUUUUGGGCCAAGACCUUUGAUCAGGAUUGGAAAGGGCCCUGACAAAGUGUUUCAGGCCAAAGCUUAAACUAGUUACUCCUCUCUAUUUAAAUGUUGUGAUAAGGGAUACAAAAUUAAUUUGUAUUCUUGGCACAAGAACCAGAGCUUCAGGGCUGGAGGAAUGUCUUUAGCCAGAGGGUGGUGUAUCUGUGGAACUCAUUGCCACAGGUCAUUGGGCGUAUUUAAAGUGGAGGUUGAUAGGUUCCUGAUUAGUAAGGGCAUCAAAUGUAAUGGGAAGGAGAAUGGGGUUGAGACAGAUAUUAAAAGGUUUAGAAGUAUUGCAUGGCUUGGUUGUGCUUUUACAGCUGACACAGGUGUGAUGAGAUAUGUUGUAAGUUUUGUGCACUUUUCUUUGAAGGUGAUGAUUGAUCAGAGGCAAUGAGAUCCUUGAAUAAGGAAAGGACUAAAGAGCGUGGAUAUGGAGAGGUUGUUUCAAAUAGUGGGGAGGUCCAAGACCAGAUGGUUCAGCCUCUGAAUACAAGGAUGUCACUUUAAAACAGAGACGAGGAGGAAUUUCUUUAGCCAGAGGGUGGUGAAUCUGUGGAAUUCAUUAUCACAGGUCAUUGUGAAGGCCAGGUCAUUGGGUGUAUUUAAGGUGGAGGUUGAUAGUUUUUAUUUGCAAGGGUGUCAAAAUUUAUGGGGAGAAGGCAGGAGAAUGGGAUUGAGGGAGAAAGUAAACCAGCCAUGAUAAAAAUGGCAGACCUGAUAGGCCAAAUUCUGCUCUCACAUCUCACAGUGUGCCAGGUUUUCCACUGCACAGUCCAGACCCCCAUCCCCACCACUGUACCGUGGAAACCCGCACCGUCACAUAAACCGCCAUCGAGUCUUCUCCCAGCCCUGUCCACUUUCACACGAGGCAGACAUCACCAGCGGAGUGGAGUGACAGCCACAACAGAAAUGGCAGCCCAUGGUCCAGAAAAACCGCUUCAAUGGUGGGACAUCGAGCCCGAUCAGAUUUCUGAAUGGACAACGAACCAGCCGAUGAACGCUACCUCGCUACUUUUUGCUCCCGUUUUUACACUACCUUUUAAAAUCCAUUUUAUACAUUUCUCAUUGUAAUUUAUAGUUUGUUUCUUUAAUGUACUGCUGCUGCAAAACAGCAAAUUUCACGACAUACGUCAGCGAUAAUAAACUGAUCCUGAUUCACCAAACGCAGAUGGCUUCUGAAGAUUGUAAAGGGUCCCUUUUUUUCCUUUCAUAUAAUGUGAAUGGAAGUGACAGACAACACAGAUCUGGAGGGCUGUGCCCAGGAUGGGCUCCGUACACGGCAGAUAUUUACAGUAUUGGCAUCUUUCCUAUCUGCAACCUCUACCACUUUGGAAGUGUUACAAAACCAUGAUAUG